AGCUUGUACGAGUGCUGAGUUUCAGUGUGAAAACAGUCUUAGAUGUGUCAAACCAUCCCAAGUGUGCGAUGGCAAUAAUGACUGUGACGACGCAACAGAUGAGCUGCUGUGCAAGUCCUGUUCAUACAAGGGCUGGGACUGUGGCAAUGGAGAAUGCAUUGACCCAAAUACGGUGUGUGACGGGGACAAGGACUGCUCUUCUGGGGCAGAUGAAGAAAACUGCAAAAUUUGCGAUGAUGAUCAGUUCUACUGCGCGGAUGGAACCUGUUUGUCGCUGGCAUUACAUUGUGAUAGCAAACAUGACUGUAGUGGAGGAGAGGACGAAGAAAGAUGUGCAGGCAUCUGCAAUAUAUUGCAGUUAGAGUGUGACAGCAAAUGCUUGCCAAGGUACCGUGCCUGUGAUGGCUUGCAGGACUGUUCGGAUGGCAGAGACGAGGAAAAUUGCACCAUUCAAGGGUGCGGUGUAAAGCAGUUCCUUUGCUCAGACGGUACCUGUUUGUUCGAGUCCCAGUUGUGUAACAGUCAGCAGGAUUGCAGUGGAGAGGAGGAUGAAGAUGACU
Long non-coding RNA from Branchiostoma floridae (Florida lancelet), 560 nucleotides. RefSeq lists it as uncharacterized. NCBI's taxonomy places the organism in Eukaryota, Metazoa, Chordata, Leptocardii, Amphioxiformes, Branchiostomatidae. The transcript has 5 exons. The record is from RefSeq and is a predicted model, not a curated record.